AGUUGUCGUGGCCGAGUGGUUAAGGCGAUGGCCUUGAAAUCUUUUGGAAUAUUCCCGCGCAGGUUCGAUUCCUGCCGAUUUA
RNAcentral lists this transfer RNA (82 nucleotides) under Dreissena polymorpha. RNAcentral describes it as "tRNA-Ser". The stretch from base 6 to 78 matches the Rfam family "tRNA", at positions 5 to 66 of the family's 71-position model. From Rfam's summary of the family: Transfer RNA (tRNA) molecules are approximately 80 nucleotides in length. Lineage: Eukaryota; Metazoa; Mollusca; Bivalvia; Myida; Dreissenidae. The record is from RNAcentral.